CAGCAGCCACGGGAAUACGAAGGGUGCAAGCGUUAAUCGGAAUUACUGGGCGUAAAGCGCGCGUAGGUGGUUCAUUAAGUUGGAUGUGAAAGCCCUGGGCUCAACCUGGGAACUGCAUCCAAAACUGGUGAGCUAGAGUACGGUAGAGGGUAGUGGAAUUUCCUGUGUAGCGGUGAAAUGCGUAGAUAUAGGAAGGAACACCUGUGGCGAAAGCGGCUCACUGGACCAUUACUGACGCUGAGGCGCGAAAGCUAGGGGAGCAAACAGGAUUAGAUACCCCCGUAGUCCCUGUCUCUUAUAC
RNAcentral lists this ribosomal RNA (301 nucleotides) under uncultured bacterium. RNAcentral describes it as "partial 16S ribosomal RNA". It matches the Rfam family "Bacterial small subunit ribosomal RNA", at positions 509 to 807 of the family's 1533-position model. The record is from RNAcentral.